UUGGAGGGCAAGUCUGGUGCCAGCAGCCGCGGUAAUUCCAGCUCCAAUAGCGUAUAUUAAAGUUGCUGCAGUUAAAAAGCUCGUAGUUGAAUUUCGGGACCAAUAUGUCGGUCGUGCCUCGGUACGUACUGGCAUCGUUGGUUUCUCCCUUCUGACGAACCAUGAUGUCAUUUAUUUGGUGUCGUGGGGAAUCAGGACUGUUACUUUGAAAAAAUUAGAGUGUUUAAAGCAGGCUCACGCUUGAAUACAUUAGCAUGGAAUAAUGAAAUAGGACGUUUGAUUCUAUUUUGUUGGUUUCUAGGAUCGACGUAAUGAUUAAUAGGGAUAGUUGGGGGCAUUAGUAUUCAAUUGUCAGAGGUGAAAUUCUUGGAUUUAUUGAAGACUAACUACUGCGAAAGCAUUUGCCAAGGAUGUUUUCAUUAAUCAAGAACGAAAGUUAGGGGAUCGAGGACGAUCAGAUACCGUCGUAGUCUUAACCAUAAACUAUGCCGACUAGGGAUCGGAUGAUGUUAAUUUUUUAAUGACUCAUUCGGCACCUUACGGGAAAC
This 548-nucleotide ribosomal RNA is filed under the name uncultured Glomus. RNAcentral describes it as "SSU rRNA". It matches the Rfam family "Eukaryotic small subunit ribosomal RNA", at positions 548 to 1098 of the family's 1831-position model. The record is from RNAcentral. Lineage: Eukaryota; Fungi; Glomeromycota; Glomeromycetes; Glomerales; Glomeraceae.